UACAGAGGGUGCGAGCGUUAAUCGGAAUUACUGGGCGUAAAGCGCACGUAGGCGGCUUGGUAUGUCGGGUGUGAAAUCCCCGGGCUCAACCUGGGAACUGCAUCCGAAACUGCCUUGCUAGAGUAUGGGAGAGGGAAGUGGAAUUUCCGGUGUAGCAGUGAAAUGCGUAGAUAUCGGAAGGAACAUCAGUGGCGAAGGCGACUUCCUGGACCAAUACUGACGCUCAGGUGCGAAAGCGUGGGGAGCAAACAGG
This 253-nucleotide ribosomal RNA is filed under the name uncultured bacterium. Its description in RNAcentral is "partial 16S ribosomal RNA". It matches the Rfam family "Bacterial small subunit ribosomal RNA", at positions 524 to 776 of the family's 1533-position model. The record is from RNAcentral.